This 84-nucleotide transfer RNA is filed under the name Rhodanobacteraceae bacterium. Its description in RNAcentral is "tRNA-Leu". It matches the Rfam family "tRNA". From Rfam's summary of the family: Transfer RNA (tRNA) molecules are approximately 80 nucleotides in length. The record is from RNAcentral. Lineage: Bacteria; Pseudomonadati; Pseudomonadota; Gammaproteobacteria; Lysobacterales; Rhodanobacteraceae.
GCCGGGGUGGCGAAACGGGUAGACGCAAGGGACUUAAAAUCCCUCGGCCUUACGGCCAUGCGGGUUCGAGACCCGCCCCCGGCA